RNAcentral lists this ribosomal RNA (443 nucleotides) under uncultured bacterium. RNAcentral's name for it is "partial 16S ribosomal RNA". It matches the Rfam family "Bacterial small subunit ribosomal RNA", at positions 338 to 795 of the family's 1533-position model. The record is from RNAcentral.
CCUACGGGAGGCUGCAGUGGGGAAUAUUGGGCAAUGGGCGCAAGCCUGACCCAGCAACGCCGCGUGAAGGAAGAAGGCUUUCGGGUUGUAAACUUCUUUUAUCAGGGACGAAGCAAGUGACUGUACCUGAUGAAUACUCCACUGCUAACUACGUGCCAGCAGCCGCGGUAAUACGUAGGUGGCAAGCGUUAUCCGGAUUUAAUGGGUGUAAAGGGCGUGUAGGCGGGAGUGCAAGUCAGAUGUUAAAACUAUGGGCUCAACCCAUAGACUGCAUUGGAACCUGUACUUCUUGAGUGGUGGAGAGGCAAGCGGAAUUCCGGGUGGAGCGGUGAAAUGCGUAGAUAUACGGAGGAACACCAGUGGCGAAGGCGGAUUGCUGGACAGUAACUGACGCUGAGGCGCGAAAGCGUGGGGAGCAAACAGGAUUAGAUACCCGGGUAGGC